RNAcentral lists this ribosomal RNA (493 nucleotides) under uncultured bacterium. RNAcentral's name for it is "partial 16S ribosomal RNA". It matches the Rfam family "Bacterial small subunit ribosomal RNA", at positions 28 to 506 of the family's 1533-position model. The record is from RNAcentral.
GACGAACGCUGGCGGCGUGCUUAACACAUGCAAGUCGAACGGUGAAGCGCCUUCCUUUUUGGUGGGUGUGGAUGAGUGGCGAACGGGUGAGUAACACGUGAGUAACCUGCCCCCUUCUUCUGGAUAACCGCAUGAAAGUGUGGCUAAUACGGGAUAUUCUGGGUCUGUCGCAUGAUGGGUCUGGGAAAGAUAUUGUUUCGGUGGGGGAUGGGCUCGCGGCCUAUCAGCUUGUUGGUGGGGUGAUGGCCUACCAAGGCGGUGACGGGUAGCCGGCCUGAGAGGGUGGACGGUCACACUGGGACUGAGACACGGACCAGACUCCUACGGGAGGCAGCAGUGGGGAAUAUUGCACAAUGGGCGCAAGCCUGAUGCAGCGACGCCGCGUGAGGGAUGGAGGCCUUCGGGUUGUGAACCUCUUUCGCCAGUGAAGCAGGCCUGCCUCGUUUGUGGGUGGGUUGACGGUAGCUGGAUAAGAAGCGCCGGCUAACUACGU